UACGUAGGGUGCGAGCGUUGUCCGGAAUUACUGGGCGUAAAGAGCUCGUAGGUGGUUUGUCGCGUUGUUCGUGAAAUCUCACGGCUUAACUGUGAGCGUGCGGGCGAUACGGGCAGACUUGAGUACUGCAGGGGAGACUGGAAUUCCUGGUGUAGCGGUGGAAUGCGCAGAUAUCAGGAGGAACACCGGUGGCGAAGGCGGGUCUCUGGGCCGAUACUGACGCUGAGGAGCGAAAGCGUGGGGAGCGAACAGG
This 253-nucleotide ribosomal RNA is filed under the name uncultured bacterium. RNAcentral's name for it is "partial 16S ribosomal RNA". It matches the Rfam family "Bacterial small subunit ribosomal RNA", at positions 524 to 776 of the family's 1533-position model. The record is from RNAcentral.